GGUCAAGUUUUUAAGAGCACAUGGUGGAUGCCUUGGCAGCAGGAGCCGAAGAAGGACGUUGUAGCCUGCGAUAAGCCUCGGGGAGCUGGCAAACGAGCUGUGAUCCGAGGAUGUCCGAAUGGGGAAACCCCGCUGGAGUCAUGUCCAGUGACCCACGCCUGAACACAUAGGGCGUGUGGAGGGAACGUCGGGAAGUGAAACAUCUCAGUACCGACAGGAAGAGAUAUUCCGUGAGUAGUGGCGAGCGAAAGCGGAAGAGGCCAAACCGUGUACGUGUCAAGCCGGCAGGCGUUGCGUAUGCGGGGUUGUGGGACCUUUGAGAGGGAUCUGCCGAUCCUUCAGGGAGUUACAAAUCCGCGUGAUAGUCGAAGGGCAUUGAAAGGCCCGGCAUAGAGGGUGCGACCCCCGUAGACGAAAUUUCGUGGACUCC
Molecule: ribosomal RNA, 430 nt
Filed under: Demequina lignilytica
Lineage: Bacteria; Bacillati; Actinomycetota; Actinomycetes; Micrococcales; Demequinaceae
Description: partial 23S ribosomal RNA
Rfam family: Bacterial large subunit ribosomal RNA
Source: RNAcentral